Molecule: ribosomal RNA, 253 nt
Filed under: uncultured bacterium
Lineage: Bacteria
Description: partial 16S ribosomal RNA
Rfam family: Bacterial small subunit ribosomal RNA
Source: RNAcentral
UACAGAGAGUGCGAGCGUUGUUCGGAAUUACUGGGCAUAAAGCGCACGUAGGCGGACUCGUAAGUCGGUAGUGAAAUCCCCCGGCUCAACCGGGGAACGGCUUCCGAUACUGCGAGCCUUGAGGACGGGAGGGGAGAGUGGAACUUCCAGUGGAGCGGUGAAAUGCGUAGAUAUUGGAAGGAACACCGGUGGCGAAAGCGACUCUCUGGUCCGUCUCUGACGCUGAGGUGCGAAAGCUAGGGUAGCAAACGGG